UCAGAUAGGGAGCAUUGAGAAUCCAUCUUCCUCAGCUCGUUUUCUUACUCAGUGCAUCUUCUUUUAUGUCCUGCCAUGAAAGCAGCAGCACUCUGCCAUUAUCCUAGGUGGACCACUUUCUUUCUCUUAGAAGGUAGUUCCCCUGACCUUCUGUGACCACUCCCUUAGGCCUCUUGAGAACCACCUGGGACUCUUGCAUCUGAAUUUCUUGGUUUAAUCAUACACUUCAUCACACCAGGCUGAAAAAGAGGGACAGGAGGAAAAGGAGGAAGUGGAAGAAGCCCUGAAGGACUCAGUCAUGAGGCUCAUAAGACAUCCUCCAUUUACUGUGAACUGCCUGAUAUCCACCAACCUCCCUGCCCAAGUGUUGACCUGUUGGGUGUCAUGACUUGUCUCACUUCCCUGGCCUCCCAAGCAAGAGUACAGCCUCCCUCCCUGAGGAACAUGUGGUUUACUCUACUCUGGAUGUGUCCAGCAUAUCAAGGACCUCCUCACCCAGCAUGACCCUGAGGGCCAUCGAGAGGAACUGGCUGAAGAGCACAAGUUGGCAGAGCACUUUGUAAGGUGCCCAGAGGCCCUGCUCACAGGAAGCUGCUCCAAGGUGCCCAGCUCAUGAGAGAUUCCAUU
Long non-coding RNA from Marmota monax (woodchuck), 627 nucleotides. RefSeq lists it as uncharacterized. The transcript has 3 exons. The record is from RefSeq and is a predicted model, not a curated record. NCBI's taxonomy places the organism in Eukaryota, Metazoa, Chordata, Mammalia, Rodentia, Sciuridae.